RNAcentral lists this ribosomal RNA (497 nucleotides) under uncultured bacterium. RNAcentral's name for it is "partial 16S ribosomal RNA". It matches the Rfam family "Bacterial small subunit ribosomal RNA", at positions 28 to 507 of the family's 1533-position model. The record is from RNAcentral.
GAUGAACGCUGGCGGCGUGCCUAAUACAUGCCAGUCGAGCGAACAGACGAGGAGCUUGCUCCUCUGACGUUAGCGGCGGACGGGUGAGUAACACGUGGAUAACCUACCUAUAAGACUGGGAUAACUUCGGGAAACCGGAGCUAAUACCGGAUAAUAUAUUGAACCGCAUGGUUCAAUAGUGAAAGACGGUUUUGCUGUCACUUAUAGAUGGAUCCGCGCCGCUUUAGCUAGUUGGUAAGGUAACGGCUUACCAAGGCAACGAUGCGUAGCCGACCUGAGAGGGUGAUCGGCCACACUGGAACUGAGACACGGUCCAGACUCCUACGGGAGGCAGCAGUAGGGAAUCUUCCGCAAUGGGCGAAAGCCUGACGGAGCAACGCCGCGUGAGUGAUGAAGGUCUUCGGAUCGUAAAACUCUGUUAUUAGGGAAGAACAAAUGUGUAAGUAACUAUGCACGUCUUGACGGUACCUAAUCAGAAAGCCACGGCUAACUACGUG